Coregonus clupeaformis (lake whitefish) is the source of this 355-nucleotide long non-coding RNA. RefSeq lists it as uncharacterized. The transcript is spliced from 3 exons. Lineage: Eukaryota; Metazoa; Chordata; Actinopteri; Salmoniformes; Salmonidae. The record is from RefSeq and is a predicted model, not a curated record.
CCAUAUUAAAUCGCAGAGUUGAGUCUAAUCGGCUAUUGGAGAGAACCAGAGUCAGAGAGCUAGCCAGCUCAUGUGAAAGUUCAGACUGUGUUGGAAUGUCGUGGUCUACAUCUGAAAGGAAGUGGAACUUUCACGGAACUUGUGGUUUUACCAGUGUACAUGAAACUGUCCAUUGUCAGACUGCAACCUGUAACCAGUGACCUGUAAUUCUGCUAGUAAUAGCACACAGAGAAUGGAAUCUCUUUGGUUUAUCUUGAUGAUUUUGUUCAUCGUCAAGCCACGGCAGUCUGUGGAGUCUGUGUUUCGAGAGAUCCAGCUUGGAGAUACUGCCAUUUUGCCCUGUGAUAUCUCUUAC